This 325-nucleotide ribosomal RNA is filed under the name uncultured eukaryote. Its description in RNAcentral is "partial 18S ribosomal RNA". It matches the Rfam family "Eukaryotic small subunit ribosomal RNA", at positions 1470 to 1796 of the family's 1831-position model. The record is from RNAcentral.
CCCUUAGAUGUCCUGGGCCGCACGCGCGUUACACUGAUGCAUUCAACGAGCUUAUAACCUUGGCCGAGAGGCCUGGGCAAUCUUGUUAACGUGCAUCGUGAUAGGGAUAGAUUAUUGAAAUUAUUAAUCUUGAACGAGGAAUUCCUAGUAAACGCAGAUCAUCAAUCUGCAUUGAUUACGUCCCUGCCCUUUGUACACACCGCCCGUCGCACCUACCGAUUGAAUGUUUCGGUGAAGAUUCCGGAUAGGACUUUUUUGAUUUAUUUCAAUUUUGUCUUAAAAGCUAUCUAAACCUCAACAUUUAGAGGAAGGUGAAGUCGUAACA